This 253-nucleotide ribosomal RNA is filed under the name uncultured bacterium. Its description in RNAcentral is "partial 16S ribosomal RNA". It matches the Rfam family "Bacterial small subunit ribosomal RNA", at positions 524 to 776 of the family's 1533-position model. The record is from RNAcentral.
UACGUAGGUGGCAAGCGUUGUCCGGAUUUAUUGGGUUUAAAGGGUGCGUAGGCGGCUUUGUAAGUCAGUGGUGAAAUAUGGCAGCUCAACUGUCAAGGUGCCAUUGAUACUGCGGAGCUUGAGUACAGAUGAGGUAGGCGGAAUUGACGGUGUAACGGUGAAAUGCUUAGAUAUCGUCAAGAACACCUAUAGCGAAGGCAGCUUACUAGGCUGUAACUGACGCUGAGGCACGAAAGUGUGGGGAUCAAACAGG